AGGAUGGCUGCUCUCCCCUCCGCCCCCUUCCCCAAUCCUAGAACCUCCAGCAGUGCAGCAUCUAGAGAUCAGAGGAGGAAGCUCAAGAUCUGGGCAGGAUGGGACCCCGCGGGCCUGGGAGACGAUUGUCGGGAGCAGCCUGAGGAUCACCCGGCUAGCCCGUCGGGGAGGGAAAGAGAACCACAGGCCCUAGACAGGCUGCUCCUUCAGCCCAGCUGCCAGCAUGAAGAAGACAUGCAGAGCAGAGACAUGACCACUGGCCUGCGAAUAAGAGUUCUGGAGGCCAGAAGUCCGAGAUCAAGAGGUGGGCAGGGCUGGCUCCUUCUGAACGCUGGAGGGAGAAUCUGUUCCAGGCCUCUCUCCUAACUUCUGAACUUCUGGGGCAUCUGCUGAAUAUGAUUUGGAAACCGCUGAUCCAGUCCAACAGGAUGCACGGAAACAGCCUGUGUGCAGCCAGGAGCCGAUGACAAGUCCAGCCUCACAGAGAGCCUGGGCCUGUCCCAGCAGAGGACUCCCCACCACCCCAUCUUCCACUCUGGAAACGGUGGGCCCCCCAUCUGCAAAGCAGUUCCAUCUCCUCCAUCCCUGCACCCCAAAACAAACAAACAAACAAACAAACAAAAUGUGGGAGUUAAAGAGGGGUUGAAGAUCCCAUCUGGGCAUUAU
This 666-nucleotide long non-coding RNA is filed under the name Equus caballus (horse). RNAcentral describes it as "lncRNA (ENSECAG00000053389.1)". Lineage: Eukaryota; Metazoa; Chordata; Mammalia; Perissodactyla; Equidae. The record is from RNAcentral.